Non-coding RNA from Vicugna pacos (alpaca), 4615 nucleotides. The record is from RefSeq and is a predicted model, not a curated record. Lineage: Eukaryota; Metazoa; Chordata; Mammalia; Artiodactyla; Camelidae.
UUCAGCUGCAGUCUGGAUGAAGAGAUUAAGAAACAAUAAUCCUUUGUCAGCUCAGAGAGAUCUUGAGGGUAACUUAGGCCUCAUACGUAGCAGGUAGGUCUCUGAACAGACAACUCUCCUUUCUGGCUCGACUAAGUCUCCUGGCCAACCAGACGACUCACUCACUCAUCCAUCCAUCCAUCCAGUCAUUCAUUGUAAGUUAUCCACUGAACAAUUCUUUAUGAUGGGUCUUCUGGAUGUAGAAAUGAACAUGACACAUCCCUGUUUUUAAGAAGCAGGGAGGAGGUAAGCAACUGUGUGGUGCAUUAUGAAAAAUCAGGCUGGUCAGGGCACCAGUUCCUUGUGCAGAUGCAGUUUUGUGGUAAGUGCGGUGGUGAGAUGACCUGUUUCCUGCUACCUCUAGUGAAGGCUCCAGGGCUGACCCUUAGGUCACAGCCCUGAACACUGGGCUCCAGGAGAAUGGACAGGCUGAGUGCUGACCCUGGGAGCCUGGAGAGGAAUCAGCCUCAUCCAACACACGCAGAUUCAGACGGGGAAUCCCUCCCUCCGUCCCUGCUCCUUAGCUGGAGCUGGGGAGCUUGGGGAGGGCUCGGCGCGGCCCAAACAUGAGUGUGUGUCGUGGUGCGUGGGUGUCACCGUGUGUCGGCAGCACAGGUGCCCAGGGGCAGGUGGGUCUGUUCUCUGGUGACUGGGCUGUGCUUCUCUAGGGUGGGCUCUGAUGGUCUGGGUGUCCAGCCAACCGUGACUCUGAGGAGGAAACAGAGAAGGGAGACCUGGGCGGCUCUGGGCGCGAUUCCCGCGUAACUGAAGUAAGUCCUUUCAGCUCCCUGCAUCUCAACCUCUUCAUCUGUAUAUUGGGGAUCUCCAGGCUUCGAGGUCAUUCAGUCAUUCAUUCGCAAGCUGAUGGUACACCGGCACCCAGGACAGAAACUCCCUUCACAUGUAAGUGUUUAGCACCUCAUAAAUAGUAAUAAAUCUAGAUAAGUGCAAUAAUUAUAUGUUCCAGGUGUCUGUGGCCAGAUUCGUAUAUUCUGAGUGGAGCAAGGCCAGAUGAAAACCUGGCUCCCUGCAACCCCAAGAGCUGUGUGAUGAGAGGUGAGGUCAAAGGUAGAAGAGAAAUCCCUGGGGUCAGAGGUCAGGAUCCUACGCCUAGUUCAGUUGAUUCCUGUCUGGGUCACCUUGGGGGUGUCUCCUCCCCCACAAAAUGGAGACAGUGCCCACUUCACGGGGAAGCUGGGAGGGUGAAGUGUUUAUCCUGUGGUCCUAUGGGAGCCCCCGCCCACUUUGGAUCUGGUUCUAGCUGGAUCUCAAGUCCCAUCCCCUCUCUGGCCUCAUGGCCAUAUUCAUGAAAUGAGGGGAAAUGUUGGAACACCCAAGCCCUCUCCUCACUCUGUGAAUUCAUACCAUCCUCUUUUUCAUUUUCCCCUUCUUUCCAGAACAAGUGCCUUUUUAGUAGACCUGAGACGUGGCUUCCUGCUUGAGCUAAAUUCAAGAAAUUCUCACCAAGCCCCAGUUAGUGUUCAGGGAUUUGGGGUAGAGGAGACAUCAGGGGCACCCUCUUCUCUGGAAGAGCCACCAUCAUUCCUGCUUAGAGUCAUCAAAAGACCUUUGUUCUUUCUGCCCUGCUCCCCUCCUCAAGAAAUAUAGUCAUCAAAAACCCUAGCCUGGCCUAAAUCAGAGCUAUUAAAGUGGGAUUAGCUUUUGUGAAUUUUUGUUUGUUUGUUUUCAUGAACUAAUUAUUUAAAAGAAUAGUAAUUAUUUAAUUUAAGAGGCAACCUAUUAAAAAAGAUACUCAAACAGGACAAAGGGUCUACAGCAGAGAAUGAAGUCUCUUGUGCCCCCCAGCCCCCAGCAAAGCUGACCACCACUGAGAGUUUUCUUCACUGGACUGGGCCUUUUGGUGGCCUGGGUGACCCCAGCCCUUCUCUGGGAAGGCCAUGCAGGCAGGCAUCUCUCUGCUUUACCAGUGAGGAGCUCCGGGGCCAGGAGGGAGAGGGGCGAGUGGAGCGUCCCAAGGAGUUGAGGGUCUACCAGAAGGCCAGAGGGAGGGCAGUGUCCUCGUACCCUGCUGAGGACUGAGUCCAGUCCCUCCGGUGGACCCCAGGGGAGACUGUGAGGUCACAGAGCCACCAAGGGAGACCUUUAACCCACUUGCAAGAGACCCACUAACCUUGUCAGAGAAGAUCUGCAAAUAUUUGUUGAGCGACUAUGACAGGCCUCCUGCCCUCCAACUGGGGUUGGCAUUAGGGCGAAUUAGGAAACAGAACUGGAAAGACCCCAGAUCUCACUGUGUGAGCAAGCAGAAGGGAGAGAACACUGACUCAACAUCGACUCUCCAUCAAGGGCUUUUGUUAGGUUAUUUUAAAAUUAAUUUUUAAAUAUAAAAGUUGUGCAGGAACACAUUUUCUGUGUAAAAAAAAUGAAAGCUUUACAGAUAAGGCUAAACCCCCUUUUGGUCUCUAGCUCCAGUCUUGGGUUCCUCCCACUUCUCCAGAAGGAACUUUUUCUAUUUUCAAUUUGCUGUGAAUCUUUCCAACUUUUUUCUCUGCCUUUUUCAAACAUCCGUGUUUUGUUUUUGUUUGUCUUUUAAGAUUAAUAGUAUCAUACAUAUUACUCUGCCACUUAAUUUGGGGAUUAACACUCUAUCCGGGAGAUUUAUUUUCAGGCGGAUACACAGCUACGCCCAGGGCUGGCACAGGCGGUGUUUCAUUGGAUGCUCACAUGAGAUGAGCCACUGCAGAUGAGCAGACAGUGCCUCAGAGAACUACGUGACUCACCACCCUGGUAUUGCCUGUUCCAGUGGAAACCAGUGUUUGAAAAAUUGGGAAAGAAAAAUCAGGUGUUUUCUGUUUCACCUCAUCUCCUCCUCACACUCUUCCUCCUCCUGCCUCCCUGCUCUCCUGUCCAAGGUUACAUCCCCAUGGUCAGUGCUGGACAGAGAGCUCUCAGACCCUCUCAUUGACAACAAAGUGGAGGAUGAGGACAUCUCCACCCGGGAGGAUGCCAGCUCCAGGCUAGGUCUUGAAUCUGUUCCUCCUCCCUGUUCUCCAGCCACUGCCUGAGUUCAGGUCUCAUGGCUGCUCCCCAGUCUCCCUGCCUCUCCCCGUAGUGUCACCUGAGUAAGACUUCUCCCAUCUCAUCUCCACCACCUGGUAGUGCCACCCUCUGCUUGGAGUCUUCCAUGGCUCCCCACUGCCCUCAGGACGAAGCCCAAGCUCAUUAGUCUACUUGUCAAGGCCCCGCAUGAUCUGGCCUCUACCUACUCCUUAUCACUGACCAAACGCCUCUUACAGACGUCAGUGAUCUGUGCUACCAAAGUGCAGGGUAGGACUCAUUCUUUCAUUUUACACGUGAGAACACUGAGGCUCAGAGAGGGGAAAUGACUCAUCAGAGACCCCACAAUUAGGAAGAACAGAUGCAGAAUUUGAAUCCAAGUCUCUGGCUCCCGAGCCGGCUUUCUUCUCCCACCCUGCACCCCGCUGCCUGCCCCCCAACUUACUUUGGCUCUCUGGCUGAGCAUCAAGCCUCAGCUUAAUCCAGUGCAUGCACGUGACCCUAGGAAGGGUAAAAAUGCUGAUCUGAGUCUCUUUCACAUUGUUUCUGUGGAGGUGAGUAAGAGGGUCUGAAAUGGGUCUGGGAGAGGGAAAAGUCAAAAGGACAGCCUGAGGUGAAAGAGAAAGUGUGCUUUUUCUCCCCAGGCUGAGCCCUGGGCUGGGGGCGGGCUGAGUGUGGGGGCUGGGAGCGGUGAUGCGUUCAGGGAGGGGCAGGGCGGGGAGGGCGAGUGAGGUAGGACUGAGGAUGACGUAAGGGGUGAUGGAGGAAGUGAUUAGAACCAGGAAAUAAGCUUACUGAAACCACCCUAGGAGAAUCAUCAAAAUAUUCCUGGCAUCGAUUGACAUUUAAAAAAUAGUAAUAAUUAUAUUUUUUAAAUGUGCCACUCAUUUGCCUGGCCACUCAAUCCUUCCAAUAACGCUGAAAAGUGCUUAUUCCUAUUCCCUGCUUACAGAGAAGGAAAUUGAAGCUCAGAGAGCUCAGGGGACCCUCAGCUGAGAAGCAACAAGAAGCCAAAUGCAUUACAGGAAACCAGCAGCGAAGUCUGUUCUGGAAAUCUCCAUGCCUGCCAGUCUAGUGGACCAGGUUGUGCAUGCGCUUUGCCUGCAUGUUUCAAAAUAAAAUGAAGAACAAAAUCCACACACUUGGAAAACUUCAGGAUUGGAUAAGCCUGUACCCAACCUUUCACUUAUAACCUCACAGGGACACUUUGUCUCAGGGUCUGGAGGAGGGCUAGCCUGCAGGAUGCCUGGCACUGGCUAGAUGUCUAGUCCAUGCUCCUGACCUCCUGCCUGAGUCAGUGAACACGUGAGCAAACCUGCCUGGUGUCCAAACGGCCAGUGCACAGCAGGUGGUCCGCCCUUGGCUGGCCAGUCCCCUUAGAGGCACUGUGGCCCACUUUCCUUUUCUGGUUCUGGUUUCCGUUUUGCUUCAAGGAGCACCAAGUCCUGUCUGGCCUCUUUCAGGAUGAAGGUGGAGAGUGGGGAGGAGCACCGCCUUCGCCUUGUUUGCGCCCACUGAUGGAGUCCCGCCUGACUCAUCUUCCAUGCUCUUGCUGGUUCUA